Bison bison bison is the source of this 71-nucleotide unclassified non-coding RNA. NCBI's taxonomy places the organism in Eukaryota, Metazoa, Chordata, Mammalia, Artiodactyla, Bovidae. The record is from Ensembl.
ACUGAGAUCUCCAUUAUUAUGUCCAGAUCACAUUUUGAGACAUCAAUGGGAGGAUUAAUUCCUCCUACUGU